UGUUCAGAUCAGUAUCCCAGGCCUCGUUAAUUCCACUGCGUACCCCUCAUCAAGCACUGCGCACCACAAGGACUAUGGAGUGAGCCCAGAGACUGUAGCUCCUGGGCAGGGGGGCAGUUCUGUAUAGGGAAAGGACCCCUGGCAGCAACAAGCCAGUAUGAUGUGGAUUUUAAGCCCAGGUUGCCCACUGCCUGCUGGUGGAGCAGUGUGAGGAAAUCCAGGAGCCAGACAGCACUGGAUUAACACGGCUGCUACUCAGGAAGUAAAUUGGGAUUCGAAAAUAAGGAAAAAGGAACUUGGAUUUAAGCUUGCUAGAAGUUCACCCCAAUAAACAUCAAAUUGUUUGCA
Molecule: long non-coding RNA, 348 nt
Organism: Caretta caretta (loggerhead turtle)
Lineage: Eukaryota; Metazoa; Chordata; Testudines; Cheloniidae
Source: RefSeq, a predicted model, not a curated record